UAUGAAAAUAAGAUUUUCUUUGAAAACACAUUUUUGGCACAGAUUAAAAAAAAUGUAUGUCAGGGAAAUUUGAUUUAAGUCAGUAUUAUAUAUAUUUAUAUAUAUUAUAUAUUUAUAUAUACACACCCCAAGUUCUGCACAUCCGACCAAGAAAGAAAAUCCUUCUGUUCGCUUUUACUCAACUGUAAACUGUACAUCCGGUGAGUUGAAGGUGGCGGCGGCGGCGGCGGCAGGAGAAUUAAGAAAGAUGACUGUCUGAUGAGCAGGGUAAGGGAGGAGGAGGGGAUGGGGCAAAAACCCAAUGAAAUGUUCCUGACCCCAAGGUUUCAGCACAAGUCCCAAGUCCUGCAUGAGUCCACGGCGUGCUCAAGUACACGGCCAGAGCAUCGCAGCCCGUGUUGACUUGCGAGUCACUAACUUAGUGCAAAGGCUGAUCCAUUCUGUUUAACAAAACAGAAGAAUCCCACAGCCCGGUUCCUUUUCUCCAGGUGAGGAGAGAAACCCAGCCCCUAAGGUUUUCUCUGGAGGUUUUCUCUCUACCUCAACUGGGA
This 551-nucleotide long non-coding RNA is filed under the name Rattus norvegicus (Norway rat). RNAcentral's name for it is "long non-coding RNA NONRATT022827". The record is from RNAcentral. Lineage: Eukaryota; Metazoa; Chordata; Mammalia; Rodentia; Muridae.